This 73-nucleotide transfer RNA is filed under the name Acanthosepion pharaonis. RNAcentral's name for it is "Sepia pharaonis tRNA-Glu". The record is from RNAcentral. Lineage: Eukaryota; Metazoa; Mollusca; Cephalopoda; Sepiida; Sepiidae.
GUUCUUAUAGUGUAUAAGCACAUUAGAUUUUCAAUCUUUUAGAAUAUAAUUAAGUCAUUUUAUAUUAAGAAUA